GUGGGGAAUAUUGGACAAUGGGCGCAAGCCUGAUCCAGCAAUGCCGCGUGAGUGAAGAAGGCCUUAGGGUUGUAAAGCUCUUUCACCGGGGAAGAUCAUGACGGUACCCGGAAAAGAAGCCCCGGCUAACUCCGUGCCAGCAGCCGCGGUAAUACGGAGGGGGCUAGCGUUGUUCGGAAUUACUGGGCGUAAAGCGCGCGUAGGCGGCUUGCCAAGUCGGACGUGAAAGCCCGGGGCUCAACCCCGGAAUUGCGCUCGAAACUGGUAGGCUAGAGACCGGGAGAGGAGAGUGGAAUUCCCAGUGUAGAGGUGAAAUUCGUAGAUAUUGGGAAGAACACCAGUGGCGAAGGCGGCUCUCUGGUCCGGACCUGACGCUGAGGCGCGAAAGCGUGGGGAGCAAACAGG
RNAcentral lists this ribosomal RNA (405 nucleotides) under uncultured bacterium. RNAcentral's name for it is "bacterial SSU rRNA". It matches the Rfam family "Bacterial small subunit ribosomal RNA", at positions 354 to 776 of the family's 1533-position model. The record is from RNAcentral.